Molecule: ribosomal RNA, 341 nt
Filed under: uncultured Deferribacteres bacterium
Lineage: Bacteria; Pseudomonadati; Deferribacterota; Deferribacteres
Description: bacterial SSU rRNA
Rfam family: Bacterial small subunit ribosomal RNA
Source: RNAcentral
GACGAACGCUGGCGGCGUGCCUAACACAUGCAAGUCCAGGAGAAUUGGUUUCUUCGGAAUCCAUAGUAAACUGGCGAACGGGUGAGUAACACGUAAGUAACCUGCCCUAGGGACGGGGAUAACACUGCUAACGCGGUGCUAAUACCGGAUAAUGCAGCGGAUCCGCAUGGAUAUGUUGUUAAAGCUGGCCUCUUCAUGAAAGCUAGCACCUUAGGAUGGACUUGCGUCCCAUUAGUUGUUGGCGGGGUAACGGCCCACCAAGACUACGAUGGGUAGCCGGCCUGAGAGGGUGACCGGCCACACUGGGACUGAGAUACGGCCCAGACUCCUACGGGAGGCAG